UAGCGCCAGAACCUACGGGUUGACGAGGACGACAGUAAUCGAAAUUUCGGCGGAUGCUGUUGCGGACGUGUAUUCGUUAGAAUUAUGACAAACUUCCAAAUCAAGAUGGGAACAAAACAUAAUU
RNAcentral lists this non-coding RNA (124 nucleotides) under chicken gut metagenome. RNAcentral describes it as "glmS glucosamine-6-phosphate activated ribozyme". It matches the Rfam family "glmS glucosamine-6-phosphate activated ribozyme aptamer", at positions 11 to 157 of the family's 167-position model. Rfam says of the family: This entry contains a glucosamine-6-phosphate activated ribozyme that is found in the mRNA for GlmS. GlmS is an enzyme that uses fructose-6-phosphate and glutamine to generate glucosamine-6-phosphate. The ribozyme catalyses self cleavage of the glmS mRNA that is thought to regulate GlmS activity. The record is from RNAcentral.